AUUGAACGCUGGCGGCAUGCCUUACACAUGCAAGUCGAACGGCAGCACGGGAGCAAUCCUGGUGGCGAGUGGCGAACGGGUGAGUAAUAUAUCGGAACGUGCCCAGUCGUGGGGAUAACGUAGCGAAAGCUACGCUAAUACCGCAUACGAUCUAUGGAUGAAAGCGGGGGAUCGCAAGACCUCGCGCGAUUGGAGUGGCCGAUAUCAGAUUAGGUAGUUGGUGAGGUAAAGGCUCACCAAGCCGACGAUCUGUAGCUGGUCUGAGAGGACGACCAGCCACACUGGGACUGAGACACGGCCCAGACUCCUACGGGAGGCAGCAGUGGGGAAUUUUGGACAAUGGGCGCAAGCCUGAUCCAGCAAUGCCGCGUGCAGGAUGAAGGCCUUCGGUU
This 392-nucleotide ribosomal RNA is filed under the name uncultured bacterium. Its description in RNAcentral is "bacterial SSU rRNA". It matches the Rfam family "Bacterial small subunit ribosomal RNA", at positions 30 to 423 of the family's 1533-position model. The record is from RNAcentral.